Molecule: ribosomal RNA, 433 nt
Filed under: uncultured bacterium
Lineage: Bacteria
Description: partial 16S ribosomal RNA
Rfam family: Bacterial small subunit ribosomal RNA
Source: RNAcentral
AACGAACGCUGGCGGCAGGCCUAACACAUGCAAGUCGAGCGAGGACUUCGGUCCUAGCGGCGGACGGGUGAGUAACGCGUGGGAACGUGCCCUUUGCUUCGGAAUAGCCCUGGGAAACUGGGAGUAAUACCGGAUGAGCCCUUUGGGGGAAAGAUUUAUCGGCGAAGGAUCGGCCCGCGUUGGAUUAGGUAGUUGGUGGGGUAAUGGCCUACCAAGCCGACGAUCCAUAGCUGGUUUGAGAGGAUGAUCAGCCACACUGGGACUGAGACACGGCCCAGACUCCUACGGGAGGCAGCAGUGGGGAAUCUUAGACAAUGGGGGAAACCCUGAUCUAGCCAUGCCGCGUGAGCGAUGAAGGCCUUAGGGUUGUAAAGCUCUUUCAGCUGGGAAGAUAAUAACGGUACCAGCAGAAGAAGCCCCGGCUAACUCCGUG